GUACACUCCUGCGGGAGGCAGCAGUGGGGAAUAUUGGACAAUGGGCGCAAGCCUGAUCCAGCCAUGCCGCGUGAGUGAUGAAGGCCCUAGGGUUGUAAAGCUCUUUCACCGGUGAAGAUAAUGACGGUAACCGGAGAAGAAGCCCCGGCUAACUUCGUGCCAGCAGCCGCGGUAAUACGAAGGGGGCUAGCGUUGUUCGGAUUUACUGGGCGUAAAGCGCACGUAGGCGGACUAUUAAGUCAGGGGUGAAAUCCCGGGGCUCAACCCCGGAACUGCCUUUGAUACUGGUAGUCUUGAGUGCGAGAGAGGUGAGUGGAAUUCCGAGUGUAGAGGUGAAAUUCGUAGAUAUUCGGAGGAACACCAGUGGCGAAGGCGGCUCACUGGCUCGAUACUGACGCUGAGGUGCGAAAGCGUGGGGAGCAAACAGGAUUAGAAACCCGUGUAGUCCCAUGAU
RNAcentral lists this ribosomal RNA (454 nucleotides) under uncultured organism. RNAcentral describes it as "partial 16S ribosomal RNA". It matches the Rfam family "Bacterial small subunit ribosomal RNA", at positions 331 to 801 of the family's 1533-position model. The record is from RNAcentral.